CCAAAGUGUCCUAGGUACUCCUAGGGAGCCCUUUUUAUGUGUGUAUGUGUUUUUGGUAUAAAAGAUGUUUGCAAUAAAUAAAGUGUGAGGAUGAGAAGAGAACUCAUUAAUUAUAUUUUUGUGUUUGACAAUACCUUCGGACUUGUGCCUACGUACCAACAUAAAAAUAAGGGAUCAAAACCUCAUAGUUCGUGGUAAUAAUUUUAAAGUGAGUGGAUUGCUUUUAAUCAAAAUUUGAGUUUAAAAGAGGCACAAAGGGCCCAAAGGUUUGAAUGAGUGUUAGUUCUUUUUGUCUUUUGAAAUUUUAAGUCAAGAUGGUUAGAUUCAUUUACAAGUUUGAUUUAAAAAAAGAGUUUUAGAAAUGCAAUGGCUUAAGGCCAAAGUUUCUAAUUUGCAAUAAAGUAUAAGUUUAGAAAUUCCAAGCAAAGAAGGCUUUUGAAAAGGGGGAGAGAUUUUGAAAUUUAAGAAAAUGGGAGGAGAUGGAGAGACUAAUCCUAGGCAAAAACUUAAAAGUUAAGAGUUAAAAAGAUCUGACCAAUGGGAUGCAAUCCAAUAGACAAGAAUGUCAUAUAGAAUCCCACUUCUUCCUUUGGACUUUAAAUCAAGCAAUAUCAAUAAGCAAGUAGCAAUAUGAAGAGAAAGGCAUCAAAUAAAGAUAGCCACAUCCAAGCAAGCAACUUCACGGUCUUUUUCUUAAUCUUC
Molecule: long non-coding RNA, 702 nt
Filed under: Lathyrus oleraceus (garden pea)
Lineage: Eukaryota; Viridiplantae; Streptophyta; Magnoliopsida; Fabales; Fabaceae
Description: Pisum sativum (pea) long non-coding RNA (PSAT_LNC034163)
Source: RNAcentral